Long non-coding RNA from Hyaena hyaena (striped hyena), 467 nucleotides. RefSeq lists it as uncharacterized. The record is from RefSeq and is a predicted model, not a curated record. Lineage: Eukaryota; Metazoa; Chordata; Mammalia; Carnivora; Hyaenidae. The transcript has 3 exons.
UUUGGACAGUUACAGAGUAGCAUGCCAGUCACUUGGGUGCACUUGGAUGACUUUGUGCUGCUUUACACAACUCUCGACAAAGUGAAUAGGUUCGGUGAUAUUAUUUCCAGAUUGGCUCAGGAUUGGCUCACAAUGAAAUAAUGAGGAGUCUUGUUCUGCUUCUCAAAUUCUAGAAAAAGUGAAGAAAGAAGUGUUAGAUUCCAUGAAGCUCGACAGCAUGAGCUCCUACUUAUUUUUUUUUUUUUUUAAAGAAAUUCAAGUAGUAACUUAUACUGACUGGGUGGUUGCCUGAAUCCGUGAUCUUCAACAACAGAACAAGGAGAUGGGUAGAAAUGACACUUGAAUUUUUGUGAGAAGAAGGACCCUUUUCAUGUGGAAAAUAUUUUCUGUAUUCCUCUAUCAUAGUUAUCAAAGUUCUAUUAGCUAUUGAUUGGAAAAAUAAAUUUUUCCAAAACUAAUAUGAAAGA